Molecule: transfer RNA, 77 nt
Filed under: Methanobacteriota archaeon
Lineage: Archaea; Methanobacteriati; Methanobacteriota
Description: Euryarchaeota archaeon tRNA-Arg
Rfam family: tRNA
About the family: Transfer RNA (tRNA) molecules are approximately 80 nucleotides in length. Their secondary structure includes four short double-helical elements and three loops (D, anti-codon, and T loops).
Source: RNAcentral
GCCCUUGUAGUGUAGCUUGGAUAACACUCUGGCCUGCGGAGCCGGUACCCCAGGUUCAAAUCCUGGCAGGGGCGCCA